CGCACAUGUGGACGGGAGUACAGACGCCAGCGCAUGCGCGAUAUAUGUCGAACUGGGGGAAAGUCCUGAAACAUCGAUGAGGGGUGGCGAAGCUAGCGCCCUUGGACGAACGGCUGGCGGGU
Molecule: non-coding RNA, 122 nt
Filed under: Thauera sp. 28
Lineage: Bacteria; Pseudomonadati; Pseudomonadota; Betaproteobacteria; Rhodocyclales; Zoogloeaceae
Description: Betaproteobacteria-1 RNA
Rfam family: Betaproteobacteria-1 RNA
Source: Rfam by way of RNAcentral